RNAcentral lists this ribosomal RNA (301 nucleotides) under uncultured bacterium. RNAcentral describes it as "partial 16S ribosomal RNA". It matches the Rfam family "Bacterial small subunit ribosomal RNA", at positions 509 to 809 of the family's 1533-position model. The record is from RNAcentral.
CAGCCGCCGCGGUAAUACAGAGGGUGCGAGCGUUAAUCGGAUUUACUGGGCGUAAAGCGUGCGUAGGCGGCUUCUUAAGUCGGAUGUGAAAUCCCUGAGCUUAACUUAGGAAUUGCAUUCGAUACUGGGAAGCUAGAGUAUGGGAGAGGAUGGUAGAAUUCCAGGUGUAGCGGUGAAAUGCGUAGAGAUCUGGAGGAAUACCGAUGGCGAAGGCAGCCAUCUGGCCUAAUACUGACGCUGAGGUACGAAAGCAUGGGGAGCAAACAGGAUUAGAGACCCGCGUAGUCCCUGUCUCUUAUAU